RNAcentral lists this transfer RNA (67 nucleotides) under Potthastia sp. 1XL. RNAcentral's name for it is "tRNA-Arg". The record is from RNAcentral. Lineage: Eukaryota; Metazoa; Arthropoda; Insecta; Diptera; Chironomidae.
GAAUAUGAAGCGAUAAAUUGCAAUUAGUUUCGACCUAAUUUUAGGUGUAACCUAUCACCCUUAUUCU